This 253-nucleotide ribosomal RNA is filed under the name uncultured bacterium. RNAcentral's name for it is "partial 16S ribosomal RNA". It matches the Rfam family "Bacterial small subunit ribosomal RNA", at positions 524 to 776 of the family's 1533-position model. The record is from RNAcentral.
UACGGGGGGGGCAAGCGUUGUUCGGAAUUACUGGGCGUAAAGGGCGCGUAGGCGGUGUGUCAAGUCAGGCGUGAAAGCCCCGGGCUCAACCUGGGAACCGCGCUUGAGACUGGCACGCUCGAGUUCGGGAGAGGAUGGUGGAAUUCCCAGUGUAGAGGUGAAAUUCGUAGAUAUUAGGAAGAACACCAGUGGCGAAGGCGGCUCACUGGUCCGGUACUGACGCUGAGGUGCGAAAGCGUGGGGAGCAAACGGG